UGGAUUUCCCCUUAAGAUUGAUCCAGGUGAAUAUAAGCAAGAUAUGAUUCAUAGCAAAUGUGACGAUUUUUAAAAGUACACUGAAUGAUAUUUUUAAUUAUUUUUGUUGAAAGAAUAUAUGACAGUGUAUUUUUUUUCAGGUUCCAGGUCUAUGAACCCUUUACAGGUAGUUAAACAGGCGAUCAGUUUUCCAAUCCUACAACAGCACAUACCUCUUUAAAUUUUCAACUCUCAGCAAGUGAACUUCCAGAAAAGGAACCAACCACUUAAUAAAAUUAACGGUACCAAUUUUCUUGCACCAGAUGCGCAUUUCGACAAUACAUAUCUCUUCAGUGAUGCUCGUGGCCAAAAUAUUUCAAAUCCAAAGCUUAUAUAAAAGAUGAAGAGCUAUAAUAGAAUAGAAUAGAAUAGAAUAGAAUAUUUUUAAUUCCCAAAUACAGGCCCAUAAAGGGCAUAAAAUCAGAUACAAUUGAUUUACAUAAUUAACAACAACAAUAGAGGCAUAUACAUAUAUUUGGAAUAUAAGCAUUGUCAGAAUCAGCUAAAAACAAUAUAUAUUGUGAUAAAAGAAUAAUAAAUACAUAACAUGUUAAUGUAUUUCUUCUCAAAUUAUUACUGACUUAGGUCAGGUUCUACUAUUCCUUAAUCAAACAGUCACAAUAUAACAGCCAUUUCCAUAAGAGUACAUUUCUUGGGUCAGAGCCAUAAAAAUUUAGAAGAUUUAUUAAUUUAUAAAUAUAACAAUUUAGAAAUGCUUAAAAAAUCACCCUUGAAUAUCAUAAAAGGCAUUCAAUAAAAAAUGAAGCUCACUUCAACCUUACCAAGUGAGCAAUUAGAACAAAACGUCAUAUCUCAUAUGCUUUUUGAAACUGUCUGUCUCAAUUUUUAAAAGUAGCACUUAUUCUUAUACAAAUUACUGUCUUUUUUUGAGUCCGCAAUCUAAAUAUUUUUCUUUUUUUAAACCAAAGGUCCAAAAAUAUGCCAAAUCCGUAAGAAUCAGAGCUUUGCAUGAGGGAAUUCAUUCUUAAUAUAUAAAUUUCUAUCAUUUUGUAACAGCAAAUUUUAAUAACACAAAAAAUCCGUAUUUUCAUGCCAGUACCGAAGUACUGGCUAUUAUCAUUUUGUAACAGCAAAGUUUAAUAACACAAAAAAUCCGUAUUUUCAUGCCAGUACCGAAGUACUUAAGUUAUGUUAUAGUCAAUUAAGAAAGCAAGAAAACUACUCGCCUACCUGUGACACUUGGGCACAACAUAAGAAAUAUAAAAAAAACUCGUUAAACGUUAUCUCAAGAGAAUCAAAAUCGUCGCUUAGGAAGAAGUAGUAUGUUUUGUGAGUGGUCAAAUAUUGAAACAGCAUAUAAGACACAACUUUAAACACGUUUAAGAACAGAUUAGAGUUUUUCAGAAAAAUUCUACAGUGAAACAAAAAAUUUCCAAACUUAAUCUCUUUAUCUAUGGAAAAGUUAAGUAAAAGUUUAAAAUAAUAUAUGUUAAUUGACUAAUUAUAUAAAGAUUGCGUUCAUUGGAAUCUAAAACGUCUCCACAGCAAGGGCAGAGUAAAUGGCGUGGAAAGUAUACUCAACAAAAAAGAAAAGACAAAAGAAAAGGCAUCGCUCCAAAACGGAAAAUUAAUAACUGUUUACAAAAAAAUUGCUUCUUUUGUAGAAAAUAUUUGUAUACACUGAGUUCACAGUUUGAAACAGAAACAUCCACAUCCAGAAAAGGACAAUUAUUGCUGUUAACACUAGACUUAUUCCUGUGAAUAUUUAAAGUGAAAAUAUCAUCAAGGUAAACGAAGUACAGAAAUGUAGUCAAGGAGAAAGUUUAUACCGUCAACCGUUUCCUCGAAGUUCCAGACAGAAUAUUUAGCAAGUUUUCCUUUUUAAUUACAGCAGACGGAUGUAUAUGAGUUGCAGCACAUACAUCUGUUAUCAGAUUUGUAUGAGAGUUGUAUCAAAUUCCAUUAUAUUGACAACCUUGCGUGAAUAAAACAAACGGACUUAAUAAGUAAAAAUGUCAAAAUAGGGGUAGAGCAGUCAAUACGUUGUCACAAUCUUAAUUACAACAAAAACAAACAAAUAUUUAACAAAGAAGCACUAAAUAGUUAUCAAAGGUACCAAGCCUAUAAUGUAAUACACCAGACGCGCGUUUCGUCUACAUAAGACUCAUCAGUGACGCUCAGAUCCAAAUGGUUAUAAUGCCAAACAAGUACGAGGUUGAAGAGCAUUGAGGACCCA
This 2236-nucleotide long non-coding RNA is filed under the name Mytilus galloprovincialis (Mediterranean mussel). Lineage: Eukaryota; Metazoa; Mollusca; Bivalvia; Mytilida; Mytilidae. The record is from RNAcentral.